CGCCUCCGGAUCCCUCCGCCGCAGCCGGCGCUGGGGCUUUUUCACCUCCCCCACCCCCACCGCUUCAUCCCGGUUAUCCCGCCCGAAGUUGCGGCGAGGAUGCGGGAAGGGAAACGCUUCUCCCGCCCUGUUCCUGUAACGGGGUCCCGGCUACAGGGACAGCGGGACGGAGCCUUCUGCUGAGUGGGGGAGAAGAGGCGGUUGGGACUACUUGGCGUUGCUGCCACGGCCUCGGCGGAAGGAGCGCGCUUGAGCGAGCGGCUGUGCGGUGCUGCGGCUCUCCUCAGCGCUUCCUGGAAACUCCCGCUUAGGAGCGAGGGGGGGCGGGAGCGAAAGAGUCCCAGGCCGGGAAUGGGAAGGGGGCAGGGCACAGCGCCUUCCCCGUGCCCGGACGCCCCCCGAGCCCGCUGACACCCCUCAGACCGACACUCACCCCCUCUUCCUGUGCAGAUGGAGCAGGGAGAAAAUCAAUUAGGUUGGAAAAGACAUCUGAGAUCAUCGAGUCCAACCUUUCCUGGCUCUGGAUGCACUGAGUUUUCCUUUCUCCCAUGUGUGGAUGUGCUCCUGUUCACCUCACUUCCAGACAACUUCAGUAGAGAAGGAUGAGGCACAAAGAGGAGGAACUCACCCCGGUCCCACCCGGCGCUGCAGAAGGAACCAGAAUUACCAGCCUUUGCUCUGCCUCGCCCAGGGUGUGCCCUGAUGGAAACAAACUGUCGGACAUUUUCUCCAAACACACUGCACAGCCCUGAACAUAUUUUGACUUGAUCUUCAUUAUGAAGUGAGUGAUUUCUUCGCUAGAGGAAGCAGAAUCCCAGUGAGCAGCAGCCGAAUGUCAGGUCCACAACACUUCAGUUUUCAUUCCCAGCCAUGAGGCUGUGUCAUUUCAGCACCAACACAAAUUUCAAGCAGAGUCACUCUCUCCAAAGCUUGGCCUGAAGAACUGACUUAAAAAUGUUUUCAUAGGAGAGAACCAUGGUCACCCUGGGGUAUGAGGAGCUCAAAGCAAAUAAUUCUUUCCAUUAAAAAUAAAAAUAUUGAUCUUU
Molecule: long non-coding RNA, 1046 nt
Organism: Passer montanus (Eurasian tree sparrow)
Lineage: Eukaryota; Metazoa; Chordata; Aves; Passeriformes; Passeridae
Exons: 4
Source: RefSeq, a predicted model, not a curated record